Acanthosepion pharaonis is the source of this 113-nucleotide non-coding RNA. The record is from the annotation of a GenBank genome assembly. NCBI's taxonomy places the organism in Eukaryota, Metazoa, Mollusca, Cephalopoda, Sepiida, Sepiidae.
UUGCGGCAACAUCACGUUUAAAUAUCGGUCCCGUACGAUCAACCAAGGUAAGCAACAUCGAGCCUGGUCAGUAUCAAGAUGGGUGACCAUUUGGGAAUACCAGGUGCUGUAAU